Molecule: long non-coding RNA, 953 nt
Organism: Papaver somniferum (opium poppy)
Lineage: Eukaryota; Viridiplantae; Streptophyta; Magnoliopsida; Ranunculales; Papaveraceae
Exons: 6
Source: RefSeq, a predicted model, not a curated record
CCAAACUCGAAAGAGCUCCCCAUGUACUCCUGAUAUGAUUUUGAUAAAAUUUCAGCUCAAAUUUCGAUUCACGAUCAGGUUUAAAUCAUUUUACGCAUCUCUGUCUUUCCCCUCUCUCUCAGUCGUGAGGAAUCUUUGGAAGAAGAUCUCAAAACAAACAGAUCUGGUUCAUUGCGGAGGAUAUGUCUACUGUAUCCCAUGUAUUCCAAUUGCUUGAUAAGUUUUAGGGGGAAGCUGGUGUUAAUGACGACGGUGAAGUUCCUAAUAUCUUCAAAUGAGAAUGUAUAAUAUGGCUUGCAAUUUCGACAACUUAAUUGGAUUUUAGUCCUUUGUGAAUACCUGGUUCAAGCGACAAGAAUUAAUUUGUCGAAACCAUGACUCAAAGUUGGUUCUGUUGCCAACGAUUGCUCAUCGUUUUUUAAUCCCGGGGACAUGUACUACCUAAAGAUGAUCGAGAAGAAUAAGCAAUUCAACUGUUAAUGCUUUCAGUCUCUUGAAAGCUUGAGAAAGGCUUUUAUGGAGAUCAGUUCCACAUGCGCCAAACAAGAGUCUUUCUCAAGACUUACAUAGAUGGAACCUGCAACUGUUGAGAAAGGAUGUGGAUUUUCUAAGCAAUUGUUUGACACUUGGCUUGCAGGGUGUAAUGAAGGUCAAAGAUGAUAGAUGAGUCCCCCAAAUUAUGUUCCUAUGCUUGCAUCCCAAGAUGCGGCAAAACGGUGUAAGGUAUUUUGUCUAGUUGUAUAUUAUGUGGGCCUCAUGGAUAUGUUGCAUAUUAUGUGGGCCUGAAUGUUGGAUUAUUUGAAUUUUUACAACAGUGUACAUAGUUGUACACAACCGUUUAAAUUAGAAUUCUGAAAAAAUGAAAAUUAUAUAGUCAUAUGGGUACUCUUUUUGUAGAUCUCGGAAAGAGCUUUCCGAAUAUAUAAAGUUUGUAAAUUUUUGAUGAGCGGUUU